RNAcentral lists this ribosomal RNA (460 nucleotides) under uncultured bacterium. Its description in RNAcentral is "bacterial SSU rRNA". It matches the Rfam family "Bacterial small subunit ribosomal RNA", at positions 338 to 795 of the family's 1533-position model. The record is from RNAcentral.
CCUACGGGAGGCAGCAGUGAGGAAUAUUGGUCAAUGGUCGGAAGACUGAACCAGCCAAGUCGCGUGAAGGAUGACGGCCCUAUGGGUUGUAAACUUCUUUUGCCGGGGGAUAAACCUGGCCACGUGUGGCCAGCUGAAGGUACCCGGUGAAUAAGCAUCGGCUAACUCCGUGCCAGCAGCCGCGGUAAUACGGAGGAUGCGAGCGUUAUCCGGAUUUAUUGGGUUUAAAGGGUGCGCAGGCGGGCCUUUAAGUCAGCGGUGAAAUCCCGUAGCUCAACUACGGAACUGCCGUUGAUACUGGAGGCCUUGAGUCGUGUCGAGGAUGGCGGAAUGCAGCGUGUAGCGGUGAAAUGCUUAGAUAUGCUGCAGAACUCCGAUUGCGAAGGCAGCUGUCCAGAGACGAACUGACGCUGAGGCACGAAAGCAUGGGUAUCAAACAGGAUUAGAUACCCGGGUAGUC